GGGCGGGCCAAAACUCCCAGGGGGGGCGUGGCUUGUAAAGGAGGCCCCUCCCCCUCCUCUGUAUAUCUGGGUCUGGGGGGCUCCCAAGAGUGGCGGAUCUUUAUUGGGUGGGGGGGUUGUUUUAAGCACUGUUAGGCUGUUCUAUGGGCCGGGCUCGGGAGGUCCAUAGGUCUUACGAAUGGGGUCUUCGUGCCUAUGGUGCCUGCUUUCACAGUGAUUUGGGGGGGGGUCUUAGUGGUCUCAAUGGGGGGGGGUCCCUCAUGGGGGGGGCUAUGGGGGUCCUAAAGCUCCAUAGGGGAUAAUGGGGGGGUCUUAAGACUCCAUAGUGGUGUAUGGGGGGGUCCCAGGGCUCCAUAGGGAACAAUGGGGGCAGGGGUCUUAAGGGGGGUCCCACAUCUCCAUAGGGGUCUCAGUGAGUCCAUAGGGGUCCGGGGGGGUCCCACAGCCCCAUAGGGCUCCAUGGCUGCUCCCGGUGCCAUUCCCGGUUCCGAUCCCGGUUCAGAUCCCGGUUCCAUUCCCCAUUCAGAUCCCGGUUCGGAUCCCGGUUCGGUUCCCCCUUCACCUCCAUCCCGUUGGGCUCCAUCCCGUUCGGAUCCCGGUUCGAUUCCCCGUUAUUCGAAUCCCGGUUCGAUUCCCCCUUCAGUUCCAUCCCGUUCGGAUCCCGGUUCCAUUCCCCGUUUAAAUCCCGGUUCUGAUCCCAGUUUAAAUCCCGGUUCGGAUCCCGGUUCGGAUCCCGGUUCCAUUCCCCGUUAUUCGGAUCCCGGUUCGAUUCCCCCUUCAGUUCCAUCCCGUUCAGUUCCCGGUUCCAUUCCCCGUUUAACUCCCGUUUCGGCUCCCGUUUCGGCUCCCCGUUCACCUCGCUCCCGUUCGCCUCCAUCCCGUCGUUCCUCCGGUUCCAUCCCGUCUCCAUCCGGUUCCGUUCCGUCCGGUUCCCCCCUGUUUCCGUUCCUGAGGCUGGCGGCCAACACGAUCCCCUGCACGGCGGCGUAGGCGGCCCCGAGCGGCAGCAUCAGCUCCUGCAGCACCAACCGGAGCCCGGCGGCCGCCAUGAUGAACGCGGCCAGGCCUUGACACCAGGCCCCGGCCGCUCCGUUCAACCCUAUGGCCGUUAA
RNAcentral lists this long non-coding RNA (1112 nucleotides) under Coturnix japonica (Japanese quail). RNAcentral describes it as "lncRNA (ENSCJPG00005002587.1)". The record is from RNAcentral. Lineage: Eukaryota; Metazoa; Chordata; Aves; Galliformes; Phasianidae.